UUGAAAGGGACAUGCAUUUAGUAAUGAGAUAUGCUCAGCAGCGUAGUCAGCUGUGUGGUGCAUUCUCAGCUGUGCCUCAGCAGCCUCAAUGCAAACACCCAGAAGGAGCACAGCCACUUUAUCCAGAGCAAUCAGCCAUGACUGUCUUUUCAUUGUCCGUGCUCUCAGCCUACCACCUCCUCCCCCGCCAUUGCAAGUGGCUAACACUGGGGAUGAAGACCAAGACACCACGGCCUUUCUCCAAUACCUCUCAAAUCAGCACAGACAAGGACAAACGUCUCAAUCCACAACUGCUGAAGAUGGACCCUGGCCACAUGGAAUGGUCAGACACGCCUGCCCAGCUAUCUGCAGGCGAAGAGGCUCAGAAGAGGUUUGGGGGCCUGAAGGACAUCUUGCUCCCAUGUCCAUAUGGGCAGGCGAUUUCUGCUCCAUGAGUCAAUUUUGCCAUAUAAAAUACUUAAUUUCAGCCA
Molecule: long non-coding RNA, 470 nt
Filed under: Pongo abelii (Sumatran orangutan)
Lineage: Eukaryota; Metazoa; Chordata; Mammalia; Primates; Hominidae
Description: lincRNA
Source: RNAcentral